AAUUUUGGACAAUGGGGGAAACCCUGAUCCAGCCAUCCCGCGUGUGCGAGGAAGGCCUUCGGGUUGUAAAGCACUUUUGGAGGGGAAGAAACGGCACCGGCUACUACCGGGUGUCACUGACGUUACCUGCAGCAUAAGCACCGCGUAACUACGGCGCAGCAGCCGCGGUAAUAGGUAGGGUGCAAGCGGUAAUCGGAAUUACUGGGCGUAAAGCGUGCGCAGGCAGUUUGGAAAGAAAGAUGAUAAAUCCCAGAGCUUGACUUUGGAACUGCAUUUGUAACUGCCAAGCUAGAGUAUGUCAGGGGGGGGUAGAAUUCCACGUGUAGCAGUGAAAUGCGUAGAGAUGUGGAGGAAUACCGAUGGCGAAGGCAGCCCCCUGGGAUAAUACUGACGCUCAUGCACGAAAGCGUGGGGAGCAAACAGG
RNAcentral lists this ribosomal RNA (424 nucleotides) under uncultured bacterium. RNAcentral describes it as "partial 16S ribosomal RNA". It matches the Rfam family "Bacterial small subunit ribosomal RNA", at positions 360 to 776 of the family's 1533-position model. The record is from RNAcentral.